AUGAAAUUAGUGAUGCCUCUUCCAUCACUGUUCAUAGUGACCUCAUCUCUCUGGUGUUGGGAUUCUAGAUCUUUGAGGUCACGCAUGUUCUAUAGUGCCAUGUGUGUAUGGUCCUAUGCUGAGUGGUGUGGAGAUAAAACCUGUGGCCACCCAGCCAGGCAGUGUGUCUGUGUAUUCGGGGUAAAACCUGUGGCCACCCAGCCAGGCAGUGUGUCUGUGUAUUCGGGGGCAAGUCACAGAACCUGCCUCAGCCUUGGUGUCCUCAGCUCUAGAACGGAAGUCAUAACACCUACCACAGUGCUUGGUCUGACAUCUACAUCAGAGUGCCUGUCAUUGUGCCUGGCCAGAAGUCAUGUGCAGAAGUACUGGUUUCUGUUAACAUGUACAGACUCUUGAGCUGGGUAGGGGUAAUGGGGAGAGGGGGAAGAAGUGGUGUGUCAGAUCUGACCCUGGGGCUAUAGUUUGCUGAACUCAAAUCUAGCAAAAUUAACUUGCCUUAAAUAUUUAAACAAAACAAAACACAUCUCUUGGACACUAAUUUGCCCUUAGUGCAGAGAAUACCCUGCAUUUUACCUUCCUGACCCAGAACCAGGUCGUAUUUCCCAGCUUCUCUUGCCGCUGGUGGGUCAUGAGGCAGAGUCCUGGUCAGUGAAGUUGGGAGAAGUAAUAUGGGGCACUGUCAGGCCUGCAGCCAGACAGCCUUCCUUCUGAUAAUCCCACUCUCUCCCUUGCUUCCUUCACCUGCCAGCAGAAAGUGCUGAAGCGCUCAGAUGUGGUGGAGUCCUUAGACAGAAGGAGAUCCAUUCCUGAAAGCCUGUGGGGAGGGGAGUCCCGGUCCUCCUCCCUCCAGCUCCCCUGCAUGGGAACGGGAAAUUAAUGAGAAGUAAACUUUCUUGUAUUAAACCACUGAGAUUUGGGGUUGUUUGCUGCAACUCUUAGAGUGAGCCUACUCUGACUAAUACAACAUUUGGGUAUAUUUCCUGUAGGCUGCAUGCACCUGAUUAAAUGGUAUGGAAGCUUGUUCCUUCAAGACAAUGCUCCCCUUGGUCUGGUCACGGGGCCACCUUGUCCUGGUCCAUGGGCGUCUAUGGCCCGACAGGCCCCUGGCCUCUUCAAUGCCCAGUGCUCCAGCCCCUCUGGGACAUGUCCAGCUGCUCUCCCCAGGCUUUGGAACAUGCUGUUUCUUUUUCUCAAAAUACCUUGUUUCUUUCUCCAUAUGACCAUUCCAUUUUUUUUUAAGCUUCUUAAAAAUAUAUUUUUAGAGAGAGAGAGCAAGCAGGGGGAGGAGAAGAGUGCAGAGCCUGAUGCAGGACUCGAUCUCACAGCCCUGAGAUCAUGACCUGAGUCAAAACCAAGAGUCAGACACGUAACUGACUGAGCUGCCCAGGCGCCCCAUGACCAUUCCAUUAUGCAGCUAGGAGUUACCUGUUCUAGAAGUACCUUCAUAAUUUCCACCCGCCCCCUGCAACCCUCCCCAGACACCUGCUGAUUGUGUUCAUCAUGACCUCCCUUGUCAGACUGCAGGUUUCUUGAGGGUGGAGACCAUGUUCAGUAAGUAUUUGUGAUGAAAUUACAUGGUGUGUAACAAUUUUUUGUGGGUCAGUUAGUGAGUCAGUGUGAAAAGGGUUAGGUGACAAAUUUGACCCCUUUUAUAACGUUGGUUAAGCCAACCCUGAAAUUGUUUAAUCUUCAUAGAUUAAAAUAAGCUCUUCUCCCCAACAGGGCUGCUCCUUGUUCUUUCUCUUUCACAGUACUUCUAUGUUUUGAUUUAGAGAAAAUGGACAUUUUAACAACUUUGAUAUAUUGAAUGUGAUAUAUUUGAUAUCAUUUGAAUUGAAAUAUUGCUGCAUUUUCUUAGGCAUAAUUCAGUUUCUCUCAGCAGUGUUUUGUUUUUUCAGUGAGGAUCUUACACAAAUUUCACUACUUUUAUUCCCAAGUGUUUGCUGUUUCAUGAAUAGCAUUGUACAUACGGGCUUCCCCUCACACCCGUGAUUUCUGGCAAAUCCUCAGAGGCUACGGCCCUGUAGAAACUGCCUCUUCCCCCCAACCCCCACCCAGAGCGGAGGGGCAGCAGACCAUACCCCUGCCCCUGUCUCUUGUCCCCAGAAUCCUAGUUUGGGGGAUGUGACCUGGAACACAGAGGGAACCAGGGACUAGAACUGCUGGCUCUUUGGGGCCCUAAUUGUUAUGUGCUGACGUUCACUGUGCAGAAAAGGCUAUGUGUUCAGCUGUCCCGGCACUUUUUGGCACAUCUGUGUCUUCAACCUAGCCACACUCCAGAAGCCUCUGGGCACAGGCACAGGGCCCGGGUCAGCAAGGGGCAUACGGGGGCCUGGCUCUCAACAGUUCAGAGACCAGGUGCUAAGCCCUCCAAAGCUGGCGGGGGGGGGGGCGGGCAGACACUGCUUACCUCUCAGAACAAAGUAAAACCUUUCUAACACUCUUCCUCCUUUUUUCCUUUGUUGACUUGUAGCCAAGGAAGGACGUUUAUUUCUCCUCUAGGAGGAAAAGGCAGAGUUCCUUAAGGUUCCUGAUGGAGCUUUCUGAAACGACAGAUGUGGUCCGUGCCAUGGUGUCUGGCCGAGGAAUCCGUAACAUGGGUUUUUCAGGGACUGGUCUGUGUUUGGAAUAAAACAAAGCAAUUUGGGGCCUGGCACUUGUGUGGUAUCAAGAGGAGCAUUGUGGGAUGCAGUUUAAGGGCCAGUAAGGCGAAUGAGAGACAUGAUUUUCACAAAUUCUUGCAUGAAAUUCUGCAGGUAGUGGGGGUCCUGUGAAGCACAUGAUUCGAAGUGUAAGAUUGAUUCAGUAAUAUAACUUCAAAAACUGUGUUUAGGGGAAAUUAAAAAUGAAUGUCAGGGAAUAAGCAUAAUGAUUAUUGUUGGAUAUUUUUAAAAGCUUGGACCGAGGCCUCUGAUUACUCAUUGAAGCUGAUCCAAGACUCAGAGCCCCAUCUCGGUUUACUGCGGGCUACUAGGGACAGUGGGCAACAUCAGCAGGACCUCUGCUUCCUCUUCAGAGGAAAGCAGUCAACUGCCAACAGAUUUCCAAGGUUCCUCUGUCCUGGUUACUCUAAAACCAAAUUCACUUUUGGGUUCCUGAUGUAUUUAAUUCCUGAGCUCACAGUUGUCACAUUCACACAAGAGUGGGAAUAUGUCUUAGAAUGAAGCUCACUUAAAGCCUAGAGGUGUUAGUUUCUGGAAAUCAGGAUGGAUCCCCCCCCCCCAGGGCACCUUUCUUCCUGGUGGGCACGGUGUGGUGUGAGUGAUGUCUGCAAGGAGCAGAGGGGCUGCGGGGGAUGUGUGUCCCUUCCCUCUGAACCAGGUGCCCAUCCUGCCUUCUUUCGCUUUGACUUUAGUCCCUGGGGCCUCGGGGGGAAUCUGAAGGGGGUAUACCAUGGGCCACCCACACACUGAAAAUGCCCACGGGAGGUAGGUUGGACUUCAGAAACGUAGGUGAUUAGGAUGCUGUCAGAUCCUGUCUCAGGAGGCAAGUGACUCCUUGUAGGAUUGCUGUAAGGCAGGAGCAGGGGAGAUAACCAAGUGACAGGUGCAUCUCUGGCUUUCCAUUUUAACAGCGAUCCCUGGGGUCAGAAGUGGGGACAGUAAUAUGGAAAAAUGAACCGGAGUUUCACCAGCCUGUCCAGACUCACAGCCUUUGGCCUCAAUUAUCUGAUCAUUAACACUCAGCCAUUAAAACUUAACACUGAAAGCUCAACAUGUUAAAACAUUUAAGUAUUUUAAAGAAAUUCUGCCAAGGUUUAGAGGGGAAUAUAACAUUUCUUUUCUGGGUUUUGUUUACUUAUGUUGUUCUUAUUUGUAAUAAAAGCUAAAAAUAAGAGUGGAAGUCUGUGUUUUCUAGAAAAUAGUUAUGAGACAAGCUUCGGAGGUUUCAGAGAACAUGAGUGUUUGAUGCACACGCCCUCCCGGGUACAGAACAUGAAUGUUUGAUGCACACGCCCUCCCGGGUACAGGUGACAGGAAACCAGCACUCUCUCUCUCCACCCAAAGGAUCGGGGAGUUUUCUCUUGUUGGGGUGCUGUCAGUCAUUUUCGCAGUUCUGUUUUGAGAUAGAAUUGUUAAUUUUUCUUGACUUCAUAAUGCAGAAAUAAGAGUUUCACCUCUAAGAUUUAAAUGAGCAUCUCAUCGUAUGGGAUACCGUGUUAUUUUCUAUGGAAUCAAAGUGUAUUUUAUGGCUGCUUGCAUAACACAGAGGCAGGUUUUUGAAAAACGGUGGUUUUCUAUGAAAUGCCAUCAAUCCAGUUAUACCCGGCUUGAGAGGCCCAAGUAAGGUCUCUCUAGAAGUUAGAGGAAGCUAAGGCCUUGGCAGGUGAGGAUGGGAAAGAGAUUACUAGCCCUGAUUCUUAGGCAGUAGGGCCCACGAGGCUGUUGGGUAUUAACAAAAUCUGAAGCCUCUGAAAGUUUUUGCUGGGGGUGUUGUUGCGAUUCUGGAAUCACAGGCCACCUCCUCUUGAGCUAAAGAGGCCGAGGGUAGUGCAACCCUCCCGAGAGAAGACAGGAUAUCCAUGAUGUGCUUGGGUACCUGGACAGUG
Molecule: long non-coding RNA, 4549 nt
Organism: Mustela putorius furo (domestic ferret)
Lineage: Eukaryota; Metazoa; Chordata; Mammalia; Carnivora; Mustelidae
Source: Ensembl